AGCGAACGCUGGCGGCAGGCCUAACACAUGCAAGUCGAACGAACCUUUCGGGGUUAGUGGCGGACGGGUGAGUAACACGUGGGAACGUGCCUUUAGGUUCGGAAUAACUCAGGGAAACUUGUGCUAAUUCCGAAUGUGCCCUUCGGGGGAAAGAUUUAUCGCCUUUAGAGCGGCCCGCGUCUGAUUAGCUAGUUGGUUGAGGUAAUGGCUCACCAAGGCGACGAUCAGUAGCUGGUCUGAGAGGAUGAUCAGCCACAUUGGGACUGAGACACGGCCCAAACUCCUACGGGAGGCAGCAGUGGGGAAUCUUGCGCAAUGGGCGAAAGCCUGACGCAGAUGCCGCGUGAAUGAUGAAGGUCUUAGGAUUGUAAAAUUCUUUCACCGGGGACGAUAAUGACGGUACCCGGAGAAGAAGCCCCGGCUAACUUCGUG
Molecule: ribosomal RNA, 432 nt
Filed under: uncultured bacterium
Lineage: Bacteria
Description: partial 16S ribosomal RNA
Rfam family: Bacterial small subunit ribosomal RNA
Source: RNAcentral